AAACGUAGGAGGCGAGCGUUAUCCGGAGUUACUGGGCGUAAAGCGCGUGCAGGCGGGUUGUUAAGUUGGUUAUGAAAGCUCCUGGCUAAACUGGGAGAGGUUGACCAAGACUGGCAGUCUAGAGUGGAUGAGAGGUUGACGGAAUUCCGCGUGUAGUGGUGAAAUGCGUAGAGAUGCGGAGGAACACCAGUGGCGAAGGCGGUCAACUGGCAUCCAACUGACGCUCAGACGCGAAAGCAUGGGUAGCGAACGGGAUUAGAAACCCCAGUAGUCC
RNAcentral lists this ribosomal RNA (274 nucleotides) under uncultured bacterium. Its description in RNAcentral is "partial 16S ribosomal RNA". It matches the Rfam family "Bacterial small subunit ribosomal RNA", at positions 523 to 796 of the family's 1533-position model. The record is from RNAcentral.